Molecule: non-coding RNA, 394 nt
Organism: Pelobates cultripes (western spadefoot toad)
Lineage: Eukaryota; Metazoa; Chordata; Amphibia; Anura; Pelobatidae
Source: the annotation of a GenBank genome assembly
CGCUAGACCGCAAGGCGCUGAUGAAAAUGUUUGGCAUUGCGCCACCAACCCAGGCCACCAUAAGUAUGCCACGCAUUCCAAGUGGCGUCCUGGUAACAAAACCCUUGCCGGGCAGUGCUGGGGAGCCCUCGCCCCAAUCACGCUCUCCAAGAUAGCAAACCCCGAACCCAAUUCCCCAACUACUUAGGAAUUUCGUAUAACGGAACUUUACAUCACCGUCGUCCGAGUCCUACCCUUCCUUGUGCCCCAAGGGAUGAGCACCCUCCAAGGGCCAAAGGGGGAUAUCCUGCGCAACUGCACAGGGGAGAGGGGGCGCAGCCCCCAAAGAGGAAGAGGACCCACCCCCCCAAUUGUCGCGACAGGAAGGUACCACACUGAGCGCGGCUGACCGUUC